GUUUUUUGGCAAUAAAUGCUACGUCACGGUGGGAAAUCGCUGCUGACUGUUGCACUUAAGCCCACG
Long non-coding RNA from Xenia sp. Carnegie-2017, 66 nucleotides. RefSeq lists it as uncharacterized. The transcript is spliced from 3 exons. The record is from RefSeq and is a predicted model, not a curated record. Lineage: Eukaryota; Metazoa; Cnidaria; Anthozoa; Malacalcyonacea; Xeniidae.